CUUUCCCCUGACAGAAAACCUUUCAAAACCCUCGCUUAACUGCCCCCCAUUCACCACCGAUUCUUGGUGGUGCUCCGACGAUCACCUUCUUUUCCACCACCUUCGCCGGACUUAACAAUGGCGGCUGCCGCUCCCUCUGAUGUCUCCGAUGGACCAGUCCUCAGCCUCAUCAACAAGCGUCUCCGCGCCCUUCGCAAGAAACACAAUCGUAUCCUUCAGAUGGAAGAGGCUAUUGCUCAGGGAAAGCCCAUCAACAAGGAGCAAGAAGAAGUCCUUCGUUCUAAGCCUUCUGUCACCGCCCUAAUCGAUGAACUUGAAAAGCUUCGCCAACCGCUAUCAUCGGCUGUCUCUGAGGAAAUCAACUUGGCUGUACAACGCCAACAGGCGAGUGUCUCCUCUCAAUCUCAACCCGUUUUACCCGAUGAUACCCCUACGGAGGUUAGGGGUGAAAAGACGAGUGACGAGAAAGACCAAUCCGAACACGCUGUGGUUCAGGACCUACUAAACCUCCUCUAUUUUGGGUCUUUGUUUGACGUCAAGUCUCAAAGCGAUUUCACUUCAACGAUGCUUACAAGAACGCAUGAGAGAAGUUGCUGCAUCACCUACGAUUAUGUCACUGACGAUGCUACCGAUCUUCUCGUCGAGAGGGAUUUGGAUUUGAUAUCGACGAUGAGCGGCCUAUUGGUCUCUCGUCCCGUAGAUUCGAAUUUGCCGCAUAAGAAUGCGUUGGAGCGUUGCAUCGAGCACGCUAAACUCUGGCUCACGAAGGCGGACCAGCCUAUUGAACCCAACACGGAUGUUACUUAUGCGAACUUGAGAGAGAGGCUGCACAAGAUCAUGGCGUCGGAUUAUUUCACUACCACGCCUGAGAUAAAAGGUCCUGUUGAAGUAGCUGCUGUUGCUGCAGGAAACUAUGCCAAUUUUCAGGUUCCGGUGGCUGUCCAUGAAGAAGAUUCAGAUGAAAAGUUUCAACAGACGGAUGUUGAUGCUGGAGACUUGCAAGGCGAUGAUAUCAGUGAUGGUCAACCUGGUUCUGCUGACGAGCUGCCCAGUGAUGUGCAAGAGACUGGAAAUUCUUCUGAAUUCGUCACACCGCAAGAAGUGAGACCAGAAGAAGAAUUUGAGCAGAAACAUGCAGACGGAGAUGGAAAAGAACAGCAGUAUGUUCCUCGAAGGGGAGGAUAUAUGAACCAAAGAGGUGGCCGUGGUGUUGGUGGCCGAAGAGGAUAUUCUAAUGGCCGUGGAGGUCGAGGUGAUGGAAGAGGGGGAGGAUCCUACCAGAAUGGACGCACUCGAUAUUAUGACCAGUCAGGAAACUAUUAUCAGAGGAACUACUACAAUGGUCGAGGAAGAGGAGGUGGUAGGGGUGGUGGUGGACACUCUUACAACAGUCAUGGUUCCUCCCAAGGUGCUCCUAACUCUGCAAGUAUUGGAGUGGCUUCGUGACAUUACUGAUGAUGUCCUCGGGGUGUUUGUCAGAAGUGGGUGGGCGAUGCGAAUGAAUGUUUGUUGCUUUUCAUUUAUUUUUCUCUCCCUCUCUGGACGUUGGUCCUCGUCGAAUUCACCAUCCAACAUCUUGCUUUUUUUGUAGUCCCUAGUUUUGAUGGAUCCAAUGGCACAUGUAUAAAAAGACAGAUAUCGCAAAAACCAUUUGAUCCUAAGUUAUUUUGUGGACAUGAGUUGCUUUUGCUUAGACGUAUGCUAAGG
This 1707-nucleotide unclassified non-coding RNA is filed under the name Hevea brasiliensis (rubber tree). The record is from RNAcentral. Lineage: Eukaryota; Viridiplantae; Streptophyta; Magnoliopsida; Malpighiales; Euphorbiaceae.